Molecule: ribosomal RNA, 2521 nt
Filed under: Listeria monocytogenes
Lineage: Bacteria; Bacillati; Bacillota; Bacilli; Caryophanales; Listeriaceae
Description: partial 23S ribosomal RNA
Rfam family: Bacterial large subunit ribosomal RNA
Source: RNAcentral
UCCUGAGUACGGCGGAACACGUGAAAUUCCGUCGGAAUCCGGGAGGACCAUCUCCCAAGGCUAAAUACUCCCUAGUGACCGAUAGUGAACCAGUACCGUGAGGGAAAGGUGAAAAGCACCCCGGAAGGGGAGUGAAACAGUUCCUGAAACCGUGUGCCUACAAGUAGUUAGAGCCCGUUAAUGGGUGAUAGCGUGCCUUUUGUAGAAUGAACCGGCGAGUUACGAUUUGUUGCAAGGUUAAGCGGAAAAAGCGGAGCCGUAGCGAAAGCGAGUCUGAAUAGGGCGCAUAAGUAACAGGUCGUAGACCCGAAACCAGGUGAUCUACCCAUGUCCAGGAUGAAGGUAAGGUAAUACUUACUGGAGGUCCGAACCCACGCACGUUGAAAAGUGCGGGGAUGAGGUGUGGGUAGCGGAGAAAUUCCAAUCGAACUUGGAGAUAGCUGGUUCUCUCCGAAAUAGCUUUAGGGCUAGCCUCGAGGUAAAGAGUCAUGGAGGUAGAGCACUGUUUGGACUAGGGGCCCUUCUCGGGUUACCGAAUUCAGAUAAACUCCGAAUGCCAUGUACUUAUACUCGGGAGUCAGACUGCGAGUGAUAAGAUCCGUAGUCGAAAGGGAAACAGCCCAGACCACCAGUUAAGGUCCCCAAAUAUAUGUUAAGUGGAAAAGGAUGUGGGGUUGCUUAGACAACCAGGAUGUUGGCUUAGAAGCAGCCACCAUUGAAAGAGUGCGUAAUAGCUCACUGGUCGAGUGACCCCGCGCCGAAAAUGUACCGGGGCUAAACAUAUUACCGAAACUGUGGAUGAACCUCUUUAGAGGUUCGUGGUAGGAGAGCGUUCUAAGGGCGGUGAAGUCAGACCGGAAGGACUGGUGGAGCGCUUAGAAGUGAGAAUGCCGGUAUGAGUAGCGAAAGAAGGGUGAGAAUCCCUUCCACCGAAUAUCUAAGGUUUCCUGAGGAAGGCUCGUCCGCUCAGGGUUAGUCGGGACCUAAGCCGAGGCCGAUAGGCGUAGGCGAUGGACAACAGGUAGAGAUUCCUGUACCAGUGCUAAUUGUUUAACCGAUGGGGUGACACAGAAGGAUAGGGAAUCGCACGAAUGGAAAUGUGCGUCCAAGCAGUGAGUGUGAGAAGUAGGCAAAUCCGCUUCUCGCGAAGCAUGAGCUGUGAUGGGGAAGGAAAUUAAGUACGGAAGUUCCUGAUUUCACGCUGUCAAGAAAAGCCUCUAGGAAGAGUAGUACUGCCCGUACCGCAAACCGACACAGGUAGAUGAGGAGAGAAUCCUAAGGUGAGCGAGAGAACUCUCGUUAAGGAACUCGGCAAAAUGACCCCGUAACUUCGGGAGAAGGGGUGCUCUAUUAGGGUGCAAGCCCGAGAGAGCCGCAGUGAAUAGGCCCAGGCGACUGUUUAGCAAAAACACAGGUCUCUGCAAAACCGUAAGGUGACGUAUAGGGGCUGACGCCUGCCCGGUGCUGGAAGGUUAAGAGGAGUGCUUAGCUUCGGCGAAGGUACGAAUUGAAGCCCCAGUAAACGGCGGCCGUAACUAUAACGGUCCUAAGGUAGCGAAAUUCCUUGUCGGGUAAGUUCCGACCCGCACGAAAGGCGCAACGAUCUGGGCACUGUCUCAACGAGAGACUCGGUGAAAUUAUAGUACCUGUGAAGAUGCAGGUUACCCGCGACAGGACGGAAAGACCCCGUGGAGCUUUACUGCAACCUGAUAUGGAAUGUUUGUACCGCUUGUACAGGAUAGGUAGGAGCCGAAGAGACGUGUGCGCUAGCAUACGAGGAGGCAAUGGUGGGAUACUACCCUGGCUGUAUGACCAUUCUAACCCGCCACGCUUAGCGCGUGGGGAGACAGUGUCAGGUGGGCAGUUUGACUGGGGCGGUCGCCUCCUAAAGAGUAACGGAGGCGCCCAAAGGUUCCCUCAGAAUGGAUGGAAAUCAUUCGCAGAGUGUAAAGGCACAAGGGAGCUUGACUGCGAGACUGACAAGUCGAGCAGGGACGAAAGUCGGGCUUAGUGAUCCGGUGGUUCCGCAUGGAAGGGCCAUCGCUCAACGGAUAAAAGCUACCCCGGGGAUAACAGGCUUAUCUCCCCCAAGAGUCCACAUCGACGGGGAGGUUUGGCACCUCGAUGUCGGCUCGUCGCAUCCUGGGGCUGUAGUCGGUCCCAAGGGUUGGGCUGUUCGCCCAUUAAAGCGGCACGCGAGCUGGGUUCAGAACGUCGUGAGACAGUUCGGUCCCUAUCCGUCGCGGGCGCAGGAAAUUUGAGAGGAGCUGUCCUUAGUACGAGAGGACCGGGAUGGACACACCGCUGGUGUACCAGUUGUUCCGCCAGGAGCAUCGCUGGGUAGCUAUGUGUGGCAGGGAUAAACGCUGAAAGCAUCUAAGCGUGAAGCCCCCCUCAAGAUGAGAUUUCCCAUUUCUUCGGAAAGUAAGAUCCCUGAAAGAUGAUCAGGUAGAUAGGUUUGGAGUGGAAGUGUAGCGAUACAUGGAGCGGACAAAUACUAAUCGAUCGAGGACUUAACCAA